GUGCUGCAUGGCUGUCGUCAGCUCGUGUUGUGAAAUGUUGGGUUAAGUCCCGCAACGAGCGCAACCCUUAUCCUUUGUUGCCAGCACGUCAUGGUGGGAACUCAAAGGAGACUGCCGGUGAUAAACCGGAGGAAGGUGGGGAUGACGUCAAGUCAUCAUGGCCCUUACGAGUAGGGCUACACACGUGCUACAAUGGCGCAUACAAAGAGAAGCGAACUUGCGAGAGUAAGCGGACCUCAUAAAGUGCGUCGUAGUCCGGAUUGGAGUCUGCAACUCGACUCCAUGAAGUCGGAAUCGCUAGUAAUCGUAGAUCAGAAUGCUACGGUGAAUACGUUCCCGGGCCUUGUACACACCGCCCGUCACACCAUGGGAGUGGGUUGCAAAAGAAGUAGGUAGCUUAACCUUCGGGAGGGCGCUUACCACUUUGUGAUUCAUGACUGGGGUGAAGUCGUAACAAGGUAACCGUAGGGGAACCUGCGGUUGGAUCACCUCCUUACC
This 498-nucleotide ribosomal RNA is filed under the name Lonsdalea populi. Its description in RNAcentral is "bacterial SSU rRNA". It matches the Rfam family "Bacterial small subunit ribosomal RNA", at positions 1038 to 1533 of the family's 1533-position model. The record is from RNAcentral. Lineage: Bacteria; Pseudomonadati; Pseudomonadota; Gammaproteobacteria; Enterobacterales; Pectobacteriaceae.